AUACGUAGGGUGCAAGCGUUAUUCGGAAUCACUGGGCGUAAAGGACGCGUAGGCGGGUUGGCAAGUCAGAUGUGAAAUCCUACAGCUUAACUGUAGAACUGCAUUUGAAACUGCUAACCUAGAGUAUGGGAGGGGGAGAUGGAAUUAGUGGUGUAGGGGUAAAAUCCGUAGAUAUCACUAGGAAUACCGAAAGCGAAGGCGAUCUCCUGGAACAUAACUGACGCUAAGGCGUGAAAGCGUGGGGAGCAAACAGGAUUAGAAACCCUAGUAGUCC
Molecule: ribosomal RNA, 274 nt
Filed under: uncultured bacterium
Lineage: Bacteria
Description: partial 16S ribosomal RNA
Rfam family: Bacterial small subunit ribosomal RNA
Source: RNAcentral